Molecule: ribosomal RNA, 534 nt
Filed under: uncultured marine eukaryote
Lineage: Eukaryota
Description: SSU rRNA
Rfam family: Eukaryotic small subunit ribosomal RNA
Source: RNAcentral
AGUAGUCAUAUGCUUGUCUCAAAGAUUAAGCCAUGCAUGUCUAAGUAUAAGCGACUUGUACUGUGAAACUGCGAAUGGCUCAUUAAAUCAGUUAUGGUUUCUUUGAUGGUACCUUGCUACUUGGAUACCCGUAGUAAUUCUAGAGCUAAUACAUGCAGGAAUUCCCGACUUCGGAAGGGAUGUAUUUAUUAGAUAAGAAACCAUCUCGGGUUCGCCCGGUUGUGUGCUGAGUCAUAAUAACUGCUCGAAUCGCAUGGCUCUACGCCGGCGAUGGUUCAUUCAAAUUUCUGCCCUAUCAGCUUUCGAUGGUAGGAUAGAGGCCUACCAUGGCGUUAACGGGUAACGGAGAAUUAGGGUCCGAUUCCGGAGAGGGAGCCUGAGAAAUGGCUACCACAUCCAAGGAAGGCAGCAGGCGCGUAAAUUGCCCGAAUCCUGACACAGGGAGGUAGUGACAAGUAAUAACAAUACAGGGCUACUUCUAGUCUUGUAAUUGGAAUGAGUACAACUUACAUCUCUUCACGAGGAUCAAUUGGA